Molecule: ribosomal RNA, 369 nt
Filed under: uncultured bacterium
Lineage: Bacteria
Description: bacterial SSU rRNA
Rfam family: Bacterial small subunit ribosomal RNA
Source: RNAcentral
ACGAAGGGACCUAGCGUAGUUCGGAAUUACUGGGCGUAAAGCGCGCGUAGGCCGUUGAGUUAGUUAAUUGUGAAAUCCCAAAGCUUAACUUUGGAACUGCAAUUAAAACUGCUCGACUAGAGUUUGAUAGAGGAAAGCGGAAUACAUAGUGUAGAGGUGAAAUUCGUAGAUAUUAUGUAGAACACCAGUUGCGAAGGCGGCUUUCUGGAUCAAUACUGACGCUGAGGCGCGAAAGUAUGGGUAGCAAAGAGGAUUAGAUACCCUCGUAGUCCAUACCAUAAACGAUGAUUGCUAGAUGUUGGAAAUUUAUUUUCAGUAUCGCAGCUAACGCAUUAAGCAAUCCGCCUGGGGAGUACGACCGCAAGGUUA